Molecule: ribosomal RNA, 86 nt
Filed under: Acinetobacter towneri
Lineage: Bacteria; Pseudomonadati; Pseudomonadota; Gammaproteobacteria; Moraxellales; Moraxellaceae
Also listed under: 1 other name
Source: RNAcentral
UGAUCCCUUCCCGAACUCAGAAGUGAAACCUCUUCGCGCUGAUGGUAGUGUGGGGUUACCCAUGUGAGAGUAAGUCAUCGCCAGCU